CGAGGCUCGGCUGAUCCCGCCAAAACAAAAGUCCUAAACUCAGCGAGUUUUAGUUUCUAGAAAUAGAAACUGAAAUAAUCAGAGCUGAGUUUCCACAUCGUUUCAGUGCAGAGACAAACAGAUGGACUCAACAUGUCUUCAGAUAAGAACACCGAAGUUUACAUCCCUAAGGACGCCUGUGUCAGAACUGUCCCCUUGCAAUGCCUUCCCUCAUCCAUCGCCAGGAAGAUAGACAAGCGACAUUUACUGACUAAAUCAAAGAGGUCAUCGCGUGACCCGUCUCAGACGACCACAUGGAUCUGUCCGGUGGAGCUGCGAGAAAAAGGAAUGUCCACCUGCCGAACAGCACAGACAUGCCGCUUUCUGACCCGGGGUCAGUUCCGGCUGCCGGUCGUCAGCUCCAACCCCAUGGCCUCAAGAAUCCUCCACAGGUUUCUGUCCCCAGGUGGACGCUUACCUCAGGCCGACGAUCCAGAUGCCCCAGCAGUGUGCAGCAGAGUGUCCAGCUACAGGCGGAAUGCCAUGGUGCUUUUCCGCGGUCAGAUAUUUCUCACAGUGAGGAAGAAAACGACAGCGGACGGCCAGGAGGAUCACAAAUAUGGAGCGUCCCACAAAACCACAGAAGAAGCAAAUGAAAAUACUCCAACAUGUGAAAAUGCACAGAUUAGAGAGGGCAUUCAGGGGAGGAUGAAUGAACAAGGUCAUGGCCAGGUAGAAUAUGGUGCUGAUGGUGCUGAAAGUGAGGAGGAACCAAUGAGAAGACAAGCUGGGUGUCCAGUAAGAGAGGAGUGUGGUAGAGAAGGUAAAGUAGAAGUUUUCAAUAAUGAUGAUGAGCCGAUGGAGAUUGCUGAGAAAGCGCCAGAUCCAAAGCAACAGGCUGCUGGAUGGCUGAUUGGAGAAGAUGGUGGUCAAAGAUCUGUGGAUUAUUCACAUGCUCAGAAGUUAAAAGCUGCUUGCACAAGUAUUAGCAUUAACAUUAGCAUUAGCGGUGAACUCCAGAACGGCGUAGAAGCAGGAGGAGCUCUGGAGAACAGAGGUGGUGCUGACGUUGUUGAUGGUGUCACUGCUGAAGAACGUCUGCCAGAUGAUCACAGUUUCCCUGCUGAAUCCCACAGAACUGUUUUUCCUAUUAUAACCAACAUCACGUCCCUUGCUGAAGGCUGGACCGGUUCUGCUGGGACCGUGAUUUAUGAAGAACAAACAGCGCUGGAGGAACAUCAGAACUUCCAGUCUUCAGAUGGACCUCAGCUCACAGGUACAGCUGAGGGUUCUGCUCAGACUCUUCCUCCAGAACCCAGUCUCCAGGAGAACCAAGCUAAUGGUGUUCUACCCAGCUUUAUGUUGCCUCCAGAAAAUCCCAGCCUCGACUUUGUUAUUCUAGAACGGGAGGAGCGGAUCCUACGCAUCCGGAACUCGUUAAGGAACCAGGUGGCUAAGCUAAACACCCUGAACAGCAAGCAGUGAAAUAUUGCUAAAGAAGAGAUGCAUAAAGCAUUAAAACAUCAAAACAGAACGUUGCCACUGAAUACAAUAGAUCUAGAAACAGUUCUAGAAAACAGCAAAGAAAAUGGUUCUACAGUGCUAGAGCACAUUUUCACCGUUCUAGAAAUGUGAAUAUAAAAAAAUGUCAGUAUAGAAUACUGUUCUAGAAAAUGUCAAUAUAGAAGAGUUCUACAGUUCUAGAACAUAUUUUUAGAAAAUGUCAAUAUAAAACACAUUUCUAAAAAAUGUCAAUAUAGAAUACUGUUCUAGAAAAUGUCAACAUGUAACAGUUCUACAGUUCUAGAACACAUUUCUAGAAAAUGUCAAUAUAGAAUACAUUUUUAGAAACUGUCAGUAUAGAAUACAGUUCUAGAAAAUGUCAAUAUAGAAGAGGUGUACAGUUCUAGAACAUAUUUUUAGAAAAUGUCAAUAUAAAACACAUUUCUAAAAAAAUGUCAAUAUAGAAAACAUUUCUAGAAAAUGUCAAUAAAAAACAUUUCUAAAAAAUGUCA
RNAcentral lists this long non-coding RNA (1994 nucleotides) under Astyanax mexicanus (Mexican tetra). Its description in RNAcentral is "lncRNA (ENSAMXG00005022966.1)". Lineage: Eukaryota; Metazoa; Chordata; Actinopteri; Characiformes; Acestrorhamphidae. The record is from RNAcentral.